GGUGAUGAUGAAAACCAACAAUUCUAGGGAAUUCCUCAUUCAGAAUAUAUCAUGUAGAUUUGUUUAGUUUCAGCCUUGUCUGACC
This 85-nucleotide small nucleolar RNA is filed under the name Microdochium bolleyi. Its description in RNAcentral is "A. fumigatus snoRNA Afu_455". It matches the Rfam family "A. fumigatus snoRNA Afu_455". Lineage: Eukaryota; Fungi; Ascomycota; Sordariomycetes; Xylariales; Microdochiaceae. The record is from Rfam by way of RNAcentral.